Long non-coding RNA from Nelumbo nucifera (sacred lotus), 3569 nucleotides. RefSeq lists it as uncharacterized. Lineage: Eukaryota; Viridiplantae; Streptophyta; Magnoliopsida; Proteales; Nelumbonaceae. The record is from RefSeq and is a predicted model, not a curated record.
AGUAGUUCUUUUCUGCUUGCCUUGUUGUUCUAAGUCGAUCAUGCUUUCUUUCUGUCUUCUCUUCUCCCUCUACGCACUAUUCCCUAUUUCCUGCCUGCUCUUUGUUCUUUAACGAUGGCUCCUUGUUAGAAGAAGUCCAAGUGCCUAUUUGUCGAAUUUUUCAGGGUUGUGGACACAACAAAGAUGCUGUCGGAGCAUGAAUUAGCCACGAUGGUCGACGGUGGCAAGGGUUUUUGGCCCCCUAUACUAGUAUCGAGAGGCAAGGAUGGGGGUUUCAACGCUAUUGUUGGAAAGGAAUUGAUGUGUCUCUAUGGUCGUUUGAACCGCCCCGUAUAGUUUAGGUGUCACAAGCCGAGGACUGAUAGUUCGAAGUCGUCAAUCAGCUAUUCAAGCUGGGCAUGCUACAUGUUGGACAAUCCAAUGUUCUGUCGUUUGCUGCGAGAUGCUGGUCUCAUUCGUUUUGUGGAUUGCUUCCUGGAUCUCUCUGGUAAGGAGGGAGUACGUUAUGUGAAACCUAUGUUGGUGUUGCCUUUACUCACACAUUUGUAGGUGCAUUCGAUGAGUUCGGUAUCACCGUGGAAGACGUUGUUGCGCUUUUGGUGCUACAAGUCAGUGGGUCGGUGGCCGCCCCCCACUUACAAUUUCCUGAGUCCCUCCCUACCAAAUUUUCAGGACUUUGUGAGAAUCUGAUGAGUGAAAUCUGUGAUUUCAAGUUGUAGGUGGAUUAGUCGACUGCUCGGGUUAAAAUGCCACUUGAGGUGUGGGUGGCCUACUGGUUCGAGAUCAACAGCACCGGAGAUGUGAUGGUUCGCAGGGGAGAUAGCCAGUGCCAUCCUACAACGUUCAUUCUAUACAUUGCAUCCUGAUUCCUCUUUCUUGGGAACAUUGAUUAUGGCAUUCACACGGUGCUGGUUCCCGUUGUCGUGCUUGCUGCUCGAGGUCUUCAACUUCCAUUGGCAUCAAUGUUUUUGGGGUAUUUGUUCGAGUAGAUGGACGACACUGUCCCUCAGAUAAUGGAUCCAAGCUGCAAAAGGCAUUGCAGCUACAUCUUCUUCCCCUUUUUGUUUAUGUACAUGUGUGAGUGUCUCGAGUUUAGUUAGUGUCGUGCCUUGAUGCCUAUCCCCUAUGAAUGUGACCAUUUCCACUUUGGAUGGAGACCAGACCAAAGACCAGUCCCUGGGUGUUUGCCAUGGGAAAUGCUGGAUUAGCGCCAAGAGGCUUAGAUAGUUCGGGGUGGCUGAGAUCUUAUUGAAACUAUCCUCUAUUGAAGGGUUUGUAUGGAGGCCCUAUACUCGGGGCGUUCAGCAUUCCAUGCCCUUUUGUGUGAGUACUGUCGUGCCUGAAGAUGGUAACCAAAAUUGUGUAGUAGAAGAGACUCAUCCCCUCGUUGGUGUGGCACGUAUUGUUCUAUGGCCCGGUGUCAUCGCCUACCUAGACCGAUCCAGUGAGGCACAGGUUGUGGCUUAUCAUCUUGACAGAGUCCUUUGUGAGUUUGGGUAUGACGACUUGGGUGCUCAGUUCUUACAGUCUGUAGGGGAGAAUGAGUUCUGGACCUGUAGGAAUGCCUUGGAAUUCCUGGGGGUUUUUUGAUUCCCUAUUGCGGGGUACAAGAGGGUUGAGGUUUGUAGGUCCCUCCAUUUGGCCUAUAUGUGCUCCUUAUUUGGUGGGUUCCAAUUGUUUAUGUCUGCGACCCCCAUCUUCAUCACGUCAUGGCUCCCCCUUUUGGUCAUGCUCCUAACUAGGGGCAGGCACUGGCUCCUCCUCAACCGAUUCCUCCAUCCGCAAUCGUGGAAGAAUGAGAAUUUCUGGGCGUUGUUCGGAAGGGUAAGCACCCUGUUGUGGAAAAAGGUGAAGGCAACUGUGCUCCUGCUGCCAAGAGAGUCAGAUCAGCUAGGCUGCCUCGUGCAAUCGUUCCUCCUAUACUAGUGGUGCAGCAUGAAACCGAGUCCGAUGUUGCAUCGUCUCGGGCUGAGGAGGAUCUAGGUAGGGGUUCUCUACGAGCAAAUCCUGAAGGAGUCAGACAUGGUCCUCCAGCCCCAACUCCUGAGGCAAGGGAGGUGGCUGAUACGGAGUCGGUACAGUCUGCAGUGCCGGUUCCCCCCACUGAGGUUGUUUUUGUUCGUGUCACAGGUGGGUGUGUGAAGAAAAUGGCUCCCUAUCCACGUAGGAGGGAGCCCAAAAAAGUUAAUUUGGUAAGAUUCUAUAGCUCUGUAUUGUAUUUGGUUAACUGCUGGUGCUGUUAUUAUGUCAUGGCUUGUAUUAGUCUUUUUACAGUCGUUUGUGUUGAAGCGGGUGGAGGCCGAUGAUGCUCAGCCUGAUGUGGAAACCCCACAAGUUAUGUCUGAGGGCAUUGUUGGCGAAAAGUCUCGCUUAUUGUCAGACGGCUGGUGUGGGAUUUACAGUCCUUGCAGCCCUCUACUAAGGGUCAGGGAACACUUGAGGACCGUCCCAGUGGCCUUGGGGAUGCCAAGGUAGCCGAGAAUACUGUUGUCGAUGACGUAGCGCCAAUCUUUGCUAUGCGAGAAGGGGAAGAAAUCCUUGUGGGUUUGCAGAAGCAGCCAUCUAGUGAGCCAGUGUGUCAAACCGAGAUUACCCAAAAGGAUCUACCGGCUGUUGAGACUCCUGAAGAGGCGGACUCUAGUUAGGGCAGUCUGCUGAGGGAAAACAAGGUCAAAGGCCAGCUGAAGUGCUAUCUGAGACAGAGCACGAGACAACAACAGACAUAGGUCAUGAAGAAGAGGUUGCACCUACUGGCCUCGUUGAAUCUGAUGUUGUUGGAGAUGUAUCGGCUGUGGACUUGGAGACUCAACCCAAAAGUGAACCUAUGGGUUUUGAGAUAGUAUCGCCGCCCGAGGCUCUGUCCCAUGACGAGGAACUUGCAUUAGUGCUACAAGAGCUUAAGGAGUAUUGUGAGAAGCAUGAAGUCGUUCCUUUAGACUAUGUCGUUGUGGAUCUGGUUUCUAGUUUUCAAAAAGACAAAAAAUAUUUCGUAUCAAGUUCUGUAGCAAAGGCGACUUAUGUCAUUAUUCAAAAGGACUAGUUUCCACCUACUGACAUUCCUCUAGUGGUUAUAGGGACAUCACUCAAUACAAUCAUGACAAUGAUGAAUUGUAUCAUGGUCCAAUCCACUGAUGAGCUUUCGUGGUCUAGGUUCGCCUAAUGGCUGAGGACUUGUGAGUCUUUUUCUGUUCUCGGUUUUCAAAUGGACCAGGUCGAGGAGCGAAUUGUUCUACUGGCCCACAUGUUUUGGAAAUAUGGUCUCAAGGGGUCUUAGUCUCUUUCUGCUCAAUCUAUAAAGGAUGUUUGCCUGCGCCUCAAGGUGGUUGAAUCAAAUCUUUCGAAGGCAAUUGAAAGUUAAACGACCUUCUUUACGAGUGCAGUCGUCAGUGGAAAAUAAUAUCACAGUAAAUCUAUAAAGGAUGUUUGCCUGUUAGGUUUUGAAUGCAGAAGUAGAGUUUGGCAAAGAUAGUCAAUAUGAGGAAAGAAUGGUAUGCAACGUGAAAUGCAUAUGAACUCUAUACUAUGUAAAUUGCUAAGAUUUUUGUAAUGAAAGACUAUUUUUGAUUUUA